RNAcentral lists this ribosomal RNA (468 nucleotides) under uncultured bacterium. RNAcentral's name for it is "partial 16S ribosomal RNA". It matches the Rfam family "Bacterial small subunit ribosomal RNA", at positions 28 to 523 of the family's 1533-position model. The record is from RNAcentral.
GAUGAACGCUGGCGGCGUGCCUAACACAUGCAAGUCGAGCGAUUCUCUUCGGAGAAGAGCGGCGGACGGGUGAGUAACGCGUGGGUAACCUGCCCUGUACACACGGAUAACAUACCGAAAGGUAUGCUAAUACGGGAUAAAAUGAGAGAGUCGCAUGGCUUUUUCAUCAAAGCUCCGGCGGUACAGGAUGGACCCGCGUCUGAUUAGCUAGUUGGUGAGGUAAUGGCUCACCAAGGCGACGAUCAGUAGCCGACCUGAGAGGGUGAUCGGCCACCUUGGAACUGAGACACGGUCCAAACUCCUACGGGAGGCAGCAGUGGGGAAUAUUGCACAAUGGGCGAAAGCCUGAUGCAGCAACGCCGCGUGAGCGAUGAAGGCCUUCGGGUCGUAAAGCUCUGUCCUCAAGGAAGAUAAUGACGGUACUUGAGGAGGAAGUCCCGGCUAACUACGUGCCAGCCGCCGCAGUAA